This 77-nucleotide transfer RNA is filed under the name TM7 phylum sp. oral taxon 348. Its description in RNAcentral is "tRNA-Arg". It matches the Rfam family "tRNA". From Rfam's summary of the family: Transfer RNA (tRNA) molecules are approximately 80 nucleotides in length. Their secondary structure includes four short double-helical elements and three loops (D, anti-codon, and T loops). The record is from RNAcentral. Lineage: Bacteria; Candidatus Saccharimonadota. RNAcentral also lists the same sequence under 4 other names.
GCACCUGUAGCUCAGCGGAUUAGAGCACUGGUCUUCGGAACCAGGUGUCGUACGUUCGAAUCGUACCAGGUGUACCA